RNAcentral lists this non-coding RNA (110 nucleotides) under Clostridium homopropionicum. RNAcentral describes it as "SAM-I sequence". It matches the Rfam family "SAM riboswitch aptamer (S box leader)". From Rfam's summary of the family: The SAM riboswitch is found upstream of a number of genes which code for proteins involved in methionine or cysteine biosynthesis in Gram-positive bacteria. The SAM riboswitch acts at the level of transcription termination control. Lineage: Bacteria; Bacillati; Bacillota; Clostridia; Eubacteriales; Clostridiaceae. The record is from RNAcentral. RNAcentral also lists the same sequence under 1 other name.
AUCUUAUCAAGAGUGGUUGAGGGACUGGCCCCAUGAAACCCGGCAACAGUCAGUUUAUUAUUAACUGAAAAUGUGCUAAUUCCAGCAGGAAAUAUCCUGAAAGAUAAGAA